This 876-nucleotide ribosomal RNA is filed under the name Usnea rubricornuta. RNAcentral describes it as "eukaryotic LSU rRNA". It matches the Rfam family "Eukaryotic large subunit ribosomal RNA", at positions 34 to 925 of the family's 3401-position model. Lineage: Eukaryota; Fungi; Ascomycota; Lecanoromycetes; Lecanorales; Parmeliaceae. The record is from RNAcentral.
UUAAGCAUAUCAAUAAGCGGAGGAAAAGAAACCAACAGGGAUUGCCUCAGUAACGGCGAGUGAAGCGGCAACAGCUCAAAUUUGAAAUCUGGCUCCGUCGGGGUCCGAGUUGUAAUUUGUAGAGAGUGUUUCGGGUGAGACCACGGUCUAAGUCUAUUGGAACAUGGCGUCAUAGAGGGUGAGAAUCCCGUAUGUGACCGUGGCUCGAGCCCAUGUGAAGCCUCUUCGACGAGUCGAGUUGUUUGGGAAUGCAGCUCAAAAUGGGUGGUAAAUUUCAUCUAAAGCUAAAUACUGGCUGGAGACCGAUAGCGCACAAGUAGAGUGAUCGAAAGAUGAAAAGCACUUUGGAAAGAGAGUCAAAAAGUACGUGAAAUUGUUGAAAGGGAAGCGCUUGCAACCAGACCUGUCCGUAGGUGAUCAGCCGCUGUUCUCAGCGGUGCACUCGCUCUGCGAGCAGGCCAGCAUCGGUUUCGGCGGUCGGAUAAAGGCCUUGGGGGAAUGUAGCUUCCUUCGGGGAGUCUUAUAGCCCUCGGUGCAAUGCGGCCAGCCGGGACCGAGGACCGCGCUUCGGCUAGGAUGCUGGCGUAAUGGUUGUAAGCGACCCGUCUUGAAACACGGACCAAGGAGUCUAACAUCUAUGCGAGUGUUUGGGUGUCAAACCCAUGCGCGGAAUGAAAGUGAACGGAGGUGAGAACCCUUUAGGGCGCAUCAUCGACCGAUCCAGAUGUCUUCGGAUGGAUUUGAGUAUGAGCAUAGCUGUUGGGACCCGAAAGAUGGUGAACUAUGCCUGAAUAGGGUGAAGCCAGAGGAAACUCUGGUGGAGGCUCGCAGCGGUUCUGACGUGCAAAUCGAUCGUCAAAUYUGGGUAUAGGGGCG